AACGCAUAUGGCACCUGCCAGUUCUACUGGGAGGUAUGCCUGUUUGAGAAUCGUCUUUCUGAUCCCCUUUGGUUCUCCAUCGGGGGACAUGGGCCUUCACCAGUGAUUGCCUGGAAUGCGGCGUGGUUGUGUCGUGAUAAGACUGAUCGGCCAAUCGAACUUUGUCAGCGAUCUCAAAUCAGGCAGGAUGACCCGCUGAACUUAA
RNAcentral lists this unclassified non-coding RNA (205 nucleotides) under Pachyphlodes sp. Its description in RNAcentral is "partial contains 5.8S ribosomal RNA, internal transcribed spacer 2, and large subunit ribosomal RNA". RNAcentral also lists the same sequence under 1 other name. The record is from RNAcentral. Lineage: Eukaryota; Fungi; Ascomycota; Pezizomycetes; Pezizales; Pezizaceae.